CAGAGACACACACAGAUAGAUAAGAACACACGGACAUACAUAGGUCUCUCCAGUAAGGAGCUAACAUUACACUGCAGCUCAUUUUCAGGUUAGCUUUAAAGAAGCCGACUUAAAGUCAUCCAAAGGAAGAGGAAAGAUGUGAGUCUUGAAGAUCUGAACCCGGAUGAGAUGUCCUUAGUGCUAAACAGUGCAUGGAAGUCAAAAAGAGCCCGAGAAGCCCGCAGGUCUGUCACUCAAGCUUCCCUGACGUCACUUACUGAGGAGGAAGUUGGAGCAGAGCAUCAGGAACAUCAUCGAUCAGCGCUGGAGGAGCAGUCCAAUCAGAUGCAUGGCUGCAGUGUCUCCGCCCCCAGCCUGUGUAUGAUGCAGCUGAUGCCUAGAAGCUCCGCCCCUCGCCCACGCUCCUAC
This 408-nucleotide long non-coding RNA is filed under the name Sinocyclocheilus anshuiensis. RNAcentral describes it as "lncRNA (ENSSANG00000050566.1)". The record is from RNAcentral. Lineage: Eukaryota; Metazoa; Chordata; Actinopteri; Cypriniformes; Cyprinidae.